This 497-nucleotide ribosomal RNA is filed under the name uncultured bacterium. RNAcentral describes it as "partial 16S ribosomal RNA". It matches the Rfam family "Bacterial small subunit ribosomal RNA", at positions 28 to 507 of the family's 1533-position model. The record is from RNAcentral.
GAUGAACGCUGGCGGCGUGCCUAAUACAUGCCAGUCGAGCGAACGGACGAGAAGCUUGCUUCUCUGAUGUUAGCGGCGGACGGGUGAGUAACACGUGGAUAACCUACCUAUAAGACUGGGAUAACUUCGGGAAACCGGGGCUAAUACCGGAUGAUAUUUUGAACCGCAUGGUUCAAAAGUGAAAGACGGUCUUGCUGUCACUUAUAGAUGGAUCCGCGCUGCAUUAGCUAGUUGGUAAGGUAACGGCUUACCAAGGCAACGAUGCAUAGCCGACCUGAGAGGGUGAUCGGCCACACUGGAACUGAGACACGGUCCAGACUCCUACGGGAGGCAGCAGUAGGGAAUCUUCCGCAAUGGUCGAAAGCCUGACGGAGCAACGCCGCGUGAGUGAUGAAGGUCUUCGGAUCGUAAAACUCUGUUAUUAGGGAAGAACAUAUGUGUAAGUAACUGUGCACAUCUUGACGGUACCUAAUCAGAAAGCCACGGCUAACUACGUG